Molecule: ribosomal RNA, 253 nt
Filed under: uncultured bacterium
Lineage: Bacteria
Description: partial 16S ribosomal RNA
Rfam family: Bacterial small subunit ribosomal RNA
Source: RNAcentral
CACGGGGGGAGCAAGCGUUGUUCGGAAUCACUGGGCGUAAAGGGCGUGUAGGCGGUCAGGUAAGUGGGACGUGAAAUCCCUCGGCUCACCCGAGGACCUGCGUCCCAAACUGCUUGACUUGAGUAUGGGAGAGGAUGAGGGAAUUCCUGGUGUAGCGGUGAAAUGCGUAGAUAUCAGGAGGAACACCGGUGGCGAAGGCGCUCAUCUGGCCCAAUACUGACGCUGAGGUGCGAAAGCGUGGGGAGCAAACAGG